GGCGGUAGCGGGCCAUUCGGCUCCAUCCCUAUCCAUGUUCAUCCUGGAUCUUGGAGACCUCCAGCCGGCGGCAAUGGAUAGUGGAAAAGCCCGCGGGUGACGUUCAGGCCUGCCGUGUGACGGACCGCCUCCUGCGAGAUGCCUGGGGGAGGGGCGGCCCCGGGCCAGGCCAAGGUAACCGCGUUUGAUACCCCCCCCCCUCCCCCGCGCACGGUCUCCGGCGGCCCCCGCCGCGGCCCAGGCUCCGUGCUGAGCGCUGGGCGCGGGAAGGCCGCAGCCCCGAGCCCUUUCCCGGGGAAGGAGGGGUUUCUGGUGUUAAACUUCCUUCUCAGACUCACCAUCAAGUAGCUCGUCCUAUACAAAACAGAAGAGUUGGAACUGUGGCCAAUAUGAGGAGAUUGCAUCGGAAAGGGUGCUGAUCACUGACUGACUGGGUCCUAGCAAUUGUUGCUUUGCUAGAUGGGAAUUGGCUUUUCAUCAGCUUUGAAUGGGACGGGGGAGCAUGGAGCCUUCUUCAAGAUCUCGAUACCUUUUGGAUAUCAGAACAAGUAAAUAAAUGAUGCUUAAUAAAUCUAAUUUUUACAAUAA
Molecule: long non-coding RNA, 588 nt
Filed under: Sarcophilus harrisii (Tasmanian devil)
Lineage: Eukaryota; Metazoa; Chordata; Mammalia; Dasyuromorphia; Dasyuridae
Description: lncRNA (ENSSHAG00000020656.1)
Source: RNAcentral